This 2059-nucleotide long non-coding RNA is filed under the name Homo sapiens (human). RNAcentral's name for it is "HSALNT0306398". The record is from RNAcentral. Lineage: Eukaryota; Metazoa; Chordata; Mammalia; Primates; Hominidae.
GAUCUCCUGACCUCGUGACCUGCCCAGCUCGGCCUCCCAAAGUGCUGGGAUUACAGGCAUGAGCCAUUGCGCCUAACCUCAGAAACCAUUUUUAUAACCUCAAUACCUAAUAGAAACUGGCACAUGGACUGUGUGCGAAAUGUUCAAACUUGCUCACUGGGUUAAAAAGGAUGGACAGCUUAGAGAAAAAGAAGAAAAAAAGGAAACUCGGCUGUGCGCAGUGACUCAUGCCUAUAAUGCCAGCACUUUGGGAGGCCAAGGCAACUUUGCAAAUUAAAUGGUUCACAUAUGAAGGAGCACAGCUGUAGAAGGAAAAUAAGGAAGAGAAAAUAACUUCGGAAAAUUCCCAGGACUCAUACUCUAAAGGUCAUGGUUCCAGUACCAGCUUGGCUAGUAAUUAAUUGGAUUUUGGUCUUAGAUAAAUACAGACUUCUAGAUCUGUUUCUUCACAUAUAAAAUGAGAAUAAUCACCACAGUCCUGAUCUAAUAUACUAAGAUUUAGUGUCAAAAAGAAGUGUGGUUCCAAGAGUCAGUUAUUGUGCAAGUGGGUAGAAGUGCUUUAGAGUAAAUAUAAAUUCUGACUCUUUGCUACUUUCUUACUAGACAGUUAGACAAGUCAUUUAGAACUCUAUAGAUCAGCAAAAUAGGUAUAACAUUUUCUGUUUCAUAUUUGUUUUCUAGGUUUAAAUGAGAGAAUGAGUAUCAAAAAGUAUAGCAUGUGCCUCCGUAGGAAAAGUUUGGUAAAUCUCAGCAGCUAAUUAUAGGAAUAAUCAUGGUGGAAAAAGGCAGCAGCAGUAUUUCAAAGCCAGUUGCUUUCAGGGGAGAAAAUGACUGCAAGGUUAACAAAACUUAGCCAAAACCUGAUUGAAAAUAGGGAUAUGAUUCAAAAUGGCAGAUGGCAACCCUAAGUAAGAUUAUUUAGCAAUAGAAGCAUAGAUACAGAGGAGCCAUUGAGAACACAUAAGCAAUGAUUAUCUGAGCUCUAUGAAUGAAGAUCUAGUGUCAGAUGAAUGUGAGUGUAGGUCCACUGAGCGAAUACAUUUCUAUGAAAGGAAUUCACGUAUCAAGUUUUGAGCCCUGAUGGUAUCAAAUAUUCAAAAAGUUGUAAACACCCCUUCUUGUUCUGAUUCCAAAAUAAUCUAACAACUAUAUAAUUAUUUUUAUGUUUAUAUAUUCAUCUAUAUAGAGAAAAUGUAAUGAUCAGGCUAACAUGAGAAUUCAUUCAUUCUGCCUGACACAUCUCUCACUGGGAGUUGACAAUCUAAUGUUCUGAAUUUCUAUUCCAGCCCCUGUGAGCUGUGACUGCAAGAGUCAGCACCUAAAUUAGAUCAACACUACAACAUCAAAAAGCCAGCUUGAUGGCACAGCGGGGAGUGAGGAAGACUCGGUGGACAAAUCUGACUGGAAAACAAGUAGGCGUUGCAGAUGAGGCUGAAAGUGCAAGACCAGAGCACCAGCAUGGAUGGGUUGCAGUGAGGGCUCUCUUUUGAGCUGCAGGUGGCUGUCUUCUCAUUUAUCUUCACAUGGUGAGAAAAGGAUGAGAGAGUUCUCUGUGAACCCCUUUAUAAGGAUGCUGAACCCAUUCAUAAGGGCUCUCCCCUCAGGACCUAAUUACCUCUCAAAAACCCCACCUCUUAACACCAUUAUAUUGAGGGUUAGGAUUUCAACAUAUUAAUUUGGGGGGCUACAAAAACAUUCCAUCCCCAACAGAUGUUAAAUUGAAACAUUUUUAAUUCUCACUCUAUGUUCUGUGCUAGGCGACAGAAUUCCCUCCCUAAAGACAUUUACCUCCUAAUCCCCAGAAUGUAUGAGUCGUUAUUACUUUACAUGGCAAAGAAUUACUUUACAGAUGUGGUUAAGAAUGCUGAGAUGAGUAUCCUGGAUUAUAUAGGCAGGCUCAGUGUAAUCAUACAGGUCCUUACAGGUGAAAGAGGGAUGCAAGAGAGUUAGAGGCAAAGAAGAUGUGCAGAAGUUGAGUGACAUGGCUGUGAGCCAAGGAUGGUCAGAAGCCUUUAGAACAGGGGUGUCCAAUUUUUUGGCUUCCCUGGACCAUAUUAGA